UAAGACAGGGGAUGCAAGCGUUAUCCGGAAUGAUUGGGCGUAAAGCGUCUGUAGGUGGUUUAUCAAGUCUUUUGUCAAAGAUCAGGGCUUAACUCUGGGCAGGCAGGAGAAACUAAUAAACUAGAGUUCGGUAGGGGCAGAGGGAAUUCCCGGUGGAGCGGUGAAAUGCGUAGAGAUCGGGAGGAACACCAAAGGCGAAAGCACUCUGCUGGGCCGCGACUGACACUGAGAGACGAAAGCGAGGGGAGCAAAUGGG
RNAcentral lists this ribosomal RNA (256 nucleotides) under uncultured archaeon. RNAcentral describes it as "partial 16S ribosomal RNA". It matches the Rfam family "Bacterial small subunit ribosomal RNA", at positions 521 to 776 of the family's 1533-position model. The record is from RNAcentral.